GGAACCUCAGCCACAAACUUCUGGUUGCCACCUUACUGGUUUGGAUUCUCCUCUCUUGCCUGUUGCCCUGCAUACCUCACACUGAUAGAACCUGAGGUCUCAGAGAUGUGGCAGUUUUGCAUUCUGUGCAUCACUGUACUCACGGCUUCUGUGGCUACAGACCCCACAAUGACUUUUCUGGAGCAAAAACCAAGGUGGGGUCUAGUACCACGUGGCCAAGCUGUGAACCUGCGCUGCAUCUUGAAGAAUUCCCAGUAUCCCUGGAUGAGUUGGUAUCAGCAGGAUCUUCAAAAGCAACUACAGUGGCUCGUUUCUCUGCGGAGUCCCGGGGACAAAGAGGUCAAAUCUCUUCCUGGGGCUGAUUACCUGGCCACACGGGUCACUGAUACAGAGCUGAGGCUGCAAGUGGCUAACAUGAGCCAGGGCAGAACCUUGUACUGCACGUGCAGUACAGACACAGCGUCAACUGGCCAUGGAAUUCCCCAUGAAAACCUGUCAGUUAAAACGCAGUGGCUGUUAGUGAAGCUGUGCAAGUGA
Molecule: non-coding RNA, 537 nt
Organism: Apodemus sylvaticus (European woodmouse)
Lineage: Eukaryota; Metazoa; Chordata; Mammalia; Rodentia; Muridae
Source: the annotation of a RefSeq genome assembly